Molecule: unclassified non-coding RNA, 134 nt
Filed under: uncultured fungus
Lineage: Eukaryota; Fungi
Description: sequence contains ITS1, 5.8S rRNA gene
Source: RNAcentral
AAGAGAGUCGGGAAACCGAUGACUCCACACUAUGAGUUAAGGCGAGAGCUGUGGGGGGUUUUAGUAUGUACGUAUGUACGUAUUGUACUUAUAUAUUACCCGAAACACCACACAAUCGUGUAUUUACACAUGUA